This 678-nucleotide ribosomal RNA is filed under the name Vibrio cholerae. Its description in RNAcentral is "partial 23S ribosomal RNA". It matches the Rfam family "Bacterial large subunit ribosomal RNA", at positions 545 to 1229 of the family's 2925-position model. Lineage: Bacteria; Pseudomonadati; Pseudomonadota; Gammaproteobacteria; Vibrionales; Vibrionaceae. The record is from RNAcentral.
AGAACCUGAAACCGUGUACGUACAAGCAGUAGGAGCACCUUCGUGGUGUGACUGCGUACCUUUUGUAUAAUGGGUCAGCGACUUAUAUUCAGUGGCAAGGUUAACCGUAUAGGGGAGCCGUAGCGAAAGCGAGUCUUAACUGGGCGCUCAGUCUCUGGAUAUAGACCCGAAACCGGGUGAUCUAGCCAUGGGCAGGUUGAAGGUUGAGUAACAUCAACUGGAGGACCGAACCGACUAAUGUUGAAAAAUUAGCGGAUGACUUGUGGCUAGGGGUGAAAGGCCAAUCAAACUCGGAGAUAGCUGGUUCUCCCCGAAAGCUAUUUAGGUAGCGCCUCGGACGAAUACUACUGGGGGUAGAGCACUGUUAAGGCUAGGGGGUCAUCCCGACUUACCAACCCUUUGCAAACUCCGAAUACCAGUAAGUACUAUCCGGGAGACACACGGCGGGUGCUAACGUCCGUCGUGGAGAGGGAAACAACCCAGACCGCCAGCUAAGGUCCCAAAGUAUUGCUAAGUGGGAAACGAUGUGGGAAGGCUCAGACAGCUAGGAUGUUGGCUUAGAAGCAGCCAUCAUUUAAAGAAAGCGUAAUAGCUCACUAGUCGAGUCGGCCUGCGCGGAAGAUGUAACGGGGCUAAGCAAUACACCGAAGCUGCGGCAAUGUCUUUUAGACAUUGGGU